CUACGGGUGGCUCCAGUAAGGAAUAUUGCGCAAUGGAGGCAACUCUGACGCAGCCAUGCCGCGUGCAGGAAGAAGGCCUUAUGGGUCGUAAACUGCUUUUAUUUAGGAAUAAACCCCCGAACGUGUUCGGGGCUGAAGGUACUAAACGAAUAAGCACCGGCUAACUCCGGCCAGCAGCCGCGGUAAUACGGAGGGUGCAAGCGUUAUCCGGAUUUAUUGGGUUUAAAGGGUGCGCAGGCGGGCUAUUAAGUCAGUGGUGAAAUCCCGGGGCUCAACUCCGGAACUGCCAUUGAUACUGAUAGUCUUGAGUUUGGUUGAAGUGGGCGGAAUGUAGCAUGUAGCGGUGAAAUGCAUAGAUAUGCUACAGAACACCAAUCGCGAAGGCAGCUCACUAAGCCAAAACUGACGCUCAUGCACGAAAGCGUGGGGAUCAAACAGGAUUAGAUACCCUCGUAGUC
RNAcentral lists this ribosomal RNA (458 nucleotides) under uncultured bacterium. RNAcentral describes it as "partial 16S ribosomal RNA". It matches the Rfam family "Bacterial small subunit ribosomal RNA", at positions 339 to 795 of the family's 1533-position model. The record is from RNAcentral.